RNAcentral lists this ribosomal RNA (26 nucleotides) under Suillellus luridus. Its description in RNAcentral is "partial 25S ribosomal RNA". Lineage: Eukaryota; Fungi; Basidiomycota; Agaricomycetes; Boletales; Boletaceae. The record is from RNAcentral. RNAcentral also lists the same sequence under 2 other names.
GACCUCAAAUCAGGUAGGACUACCCG